UCAGCGGCGGACGGGUGAGUAACACGUGGGUAACCUGCCUGUAAGACUGGGAUAACUCCGGGAAACCGGGGCUAAUACCGGAUGCUUGAUUGAACCGCAUGGUUCAAUCAUAAAAGGUGGCUUUUAGCUACCACUUGCAGAUGGACCCGCGGCGCAUUAGCUAGUUGGUGAGGUAACGGCUCACCAAGGCGACGAUGCGUAGCCGACCUGAGAGGGUGAUCGGCCACACUGGGACUGAGACACGGCCCAGACUCCUACGGGAGGCAGCAGUAGGGAAUCUUCCGCAAUGGACGAAAGUCUGACGGAGCAACGCCGCGUGAGUGAUGAAGGUUUUCGGAUCGUAAAACUCUGUUGUUAGGGAAGAACAAGUACCGUUCGAAUAGGGCGGCACCUUGACGGUACCUAACCAGAAAGCCACGGCUAACUACGUGCCAGCAGCCGCGGUAAUACGUAGGUGGCAAGCGUUGUCCGGAAUUAUUGGGCGUAAAGCGCGCGCAGGCGGUUUCUUAAGUCUGAUGUGAAAGCCCCCGGCUCAACCGGGGAGGGUCAUUGGAAACUGGGGAACUUGAGUGCAGAAGAGGAGAGUGGAAUUCCACGUGUAGCGGUGAAAUGCGUAGAGAUGUGGAGGAACACCAGUGGCGAAGGCGACUCUCUGGUCUGUAACUGACGCUGAGGCGCGAAAGCGUG
Molecule: ribosomal RNA, 687 nt
Filed under: Bacillus licheniformis
Lineage: Bacteria; Bacillati; Bacillota; Bacilli; Caryophanales; Bacillaceae
Description: bacterial SSU rRNA
Rfam family: Bacterial small subunit ribosomal RNA
Source: RNAcentral